AAAAUUAUAUUGAGGCUGAAUAUGGUUAAUAUUUCAUGCUUAACAUGACAUUCAUAGCGACUAUUCCAAUUUAUAUAGAGACUAUUGCGAGAGGAAAUCUUACAGUGUGGCUAGCUUAGAAAGCUUUUGAAACGUGUCACUCAGUCCAUUCUGUAGUUGAUUGUGAGCAACAUUUCUGCA
This is a long non-coding RNA of Neltuma alba, 180 nucleotides long. RefSeq lists it as uncharacterized. The transcript is spliced from 2 exons. The record is from RefSeq and is a predicted model, not a curated record. Lineage: Eukaryota; Viridiplantae; Streptophyta; Magnoliopsida; Fabales; Fabaceae.